GGGAGAAGAUGGGGCCAAAUGGAAAAGUUGAAAGGGUGCAGGCAAUGGAAGAGAUGGGUGGAGAGCUCCGUUGGUGUGUAGCAAUUAAAUAUAAAGGUUUUUUCGGGGUUACCCGAAAAUUUAUAAGAAAGAUCGAUAACGCGCAGCUUCGAGAAGUCAUGGUUGGUUUUGGCUCUCCAAUGAUCCCGUUGAAUUGAUUGGAUCGCAACAUGAGGAGCCUCAACUCUGGAAGAGCUCCCGGCCAAGAGGGGAAAACAUCAUUCCGUUGAUUGUGGCCGAGGUCUAUAUUUUCCAGCAUUUGGCUGUUUUCUAAUGAUCUUGGGACUUGACCCUGAAACUGAUUCUGACUGAAGUCGAUUGCCCGUAGAUUGCUUUCGCCAACGAAGGUGUCGGGAAUGCUUCCGUGGAACUUGACAACUUGUUAUCACUUAGUCUCAGAACUUCUAAAGAACUGAAAUUUCCCACACAACUGGGAAGCAAACCACCAAUGGAGUUGCCAGAGAUAUCAAGGUAAACAAGAGAACUCAAGUUGCAGAGUGAAGAUGGAACAUUAUACAUCAGUUUAUUUUUUAUUUGGCUGAUAUAUGGAAGACCCAAAUAUGCAAGUUUUGUCUGGUUACCAACCCAAGAGAGGGUUGGAUCAGUGAAAUAAUUGGAGCGGAGAUGGUAAAAACUUUAACUGAGAGAGGUCUUUGAAGGAAGAAGGAAUUUUGCCACUGAACUUGUUUGAAUGGAGGAUUAGUAUCUUGAGAUGGAUGAGGUUUCCAAGUGAAGGAGGAACAGUCCCUGAAAAGUCGCAUCCUGAUAUAUCAAAAACAGUCAAGGACUAUAGAUUUCCAACUGAAUGAGGCAUCUUACUAGAAAUUCCCGAGUCCUUGGGACAUAGUUCCUCGAGUGAAUUGCUCGAGUUGAAUUCGGGCAAAUACCGGACGAGAUUCAGAUUGAAUGGUAUUUCGAGUAUUUUUAGUUUUGGGAACUGAAAUAUUUUGGCGGGAAAUUGGCCUCGCACCCUGCAAUCUGUCAACCGAAGGGAUUUUAAAGAAGAUAAAUUUGCCAAGAAAUGUGGGACUGUGGAUGAUAUGUCAACCUUACUAAGACUAAGAUGUUCAAGUUUAGUAAGGUUUGCUACAAAGUUUUUGAAGUCCAGAUUCUUAAGUUCCAACAACUCUUCUCCUGAAGCGAUGUCGACAUUUCGAGACAAAUCCAAGACUGACAAGGUGGACAACUUAGAAAUUGCAGCUGGAAUUUGGUCUGAAAAUGUAGAACCAGAGAGGUUGAGAAGCAUCAAAUUUAGAAAUAAGUUGUAUACUUUCACGAACCUCAGAGAAAUUGAAGUUAUUGAGUGCAAGGUCAACCCUCUGAAGAUGAACAAGUUUAAAGAGGCUGCUAUCAGAGUCUAUGGAACCAUAGAGGCAAUUACUGCUGAGGUCAAGGCCGACCACACGACCCGUCUCCUCAUCAAACUCCACGCCACGCCACGCCACGCCACAGACAACAAUUGCCUCUUCUGCCAUCGACUCGUCAAGAAUUGAUCUUCGGAGAAGUGCGAGAACAGUUAGCAGAAACAAAAAACUUCCCUUGAACUGCAAAAGAGCAUUCCUCUCUUCAUCAUGGCACAGUGGAUGAGUAGAAGAAAAGCAAUAGUUAAAGCAAAAAGCAAAGUUGACAGUAAAGCCAGAUAGGAAGCAGCAAGGGAAGAAUAAGAAGAAAGUGAUGAUAUCUUCAUGAUAUUCAUAUCUUUCAGCUAUAACAGAGGGAAUUCCACACUGGGAUGUGCAACAAAAGCCAAAUUGCUUCUGUUCUAUAUAUAGAAAUCAAGAUUUUGAUGUCCAAAAAUGUCAUCCAUGGAGCCCGUUCGCUUGUCGAACUUCAUCGUUCCAGUGACCCGAUUUUUCAGUGCCAUGUGAUUCAAAGAUAUGGAAAAAAAGAGGUACGAAAACAGAGAGCAUUCCAACCCUGAAGAGUUUGAUCAAGCAAAUUAUAACAUCUGUACAUUGUUGGUGAACUUACAAGUCAUGCACAGCAAGAAAAAGAAGUCAAUUGAGACUUGUUGUGGAAGGUUAAUGAUAUUUGUAUUCUAAUAUCUACCACAGAAGUCAAUGGCCAAAUAUUUUGGCUUGGUUAAAUUCUAAGCAGAAUUGACAGGAUUUAGUUGACUGAAUUGAACAAGAAGGUGAAUAAGUCUUAGCAAAAUUA
Non-coding RNA from Momordica charantia (bitter melon), 2196 nucleotides. NCBI's taxonomy places the organism in Eukaryota, Viridiplantae, Streptophyta, Magnoliopsida, Cucurbitales, Cucurbitaceae. The record is from RefSeq and is a predicted model, not a curated record.